This 267-nucleotide small RNA is filed under the name Drosophila erecta. Its description in RNAcentral is "GG26729". Lineage: Eukaryota; Metazoa; Arthropoda; Insecta; Diptera; Drosophilidae. The record is from RNAcentral.
GAAAUAACGGCAAUUGUCGCAUAGCAAAUGCCAGUUGCAAAUUGCGAGUUGCAAGCGCAAAUCAAAGUGUCCGCAGGCGAAUAAAGAAACAAAGAAACACAAUUAACAAACGUGAAGUAACAAUCCGGCAAAGCGAAUAAACCCGAUACCGAUUCCGAUUUGCAGCAUAAAAACCUUAGACGCCCAACAAAUAUACAUCUCUAAAUGCAUCAGCUAAGCAACAGUAUUUUUGCUCAACAAUAAUUAUACGAAAACUCUGAACACGUA